This 253-nucleotide ribosomal RNA is filed under the name uncultured bacterium. RNAcentral's name for it is "partial 16S ribosomal RNA". It matches the Rfam family "Bacterial small subunit ribosomal RNA", at positions 524 to 776 of the family's 1533-position model. The record is from RNAcentral.
UACGGAGGGUGCAAGCGUUAUCCGGAUUUACUGGGUUUAAAGGGUGCGUAGGCGGUCGGGUAAGUCUGGCGUGAAAUCUCCAAGCCUAACUUGGAAACUGCGUUGGAUACUAUCCGGCUCGAGGAAUGGAGGGGAGACUGGAAUACUUGGUGUAGCAGUGAAAUGCGUAGAUAUCAAGUGGAACACCAGUGGCGAAGGCGAGUCUCUGGACAUUUCCUGACGCUGAGGCACGAAAGCCAGGGGAGCAAACGGG